ACGACCUUACUUGAACAGGAUCUGUUCUAUAGGGUUGUACUACUGUGUCCUUGAUUUCUAAGGAGACAGGAACAAAAAUCUGGAUGAUGAACUAAGACCGUGUGAUCAGAGCGUGAUUAAUGGCUUAGAUGAUCCUCAAGUUUGAGACAUCAUCUGGUGCUGUAGAUGAUCGUUCCAGUUCAGUCUUACCUGUACUGGGUGGUCACACGGUGUUCUUACAGAUU
Trifolium pratense (red clover) is the source of this 224-nucleotide small nucleolar RNA. RefSeq annotates it as small nucleolar RNA U3. NCBI's taxonomy places the organism in Eukaryota, Viridiplantae, Streptophyta, Magnoliopsida, Fabales, Fabaceae. The record is from RefSeq and is a predicted model, not a curated record. The transcript has a single exon.